RNAcentral lists this small RNA (227 nucleotides) under Caenorhabditis elegans. Its description in RNAcentral is "Unclassified non-coding RNA Y40B1A.7". Lineage: Eukaryota; Metazoa; Nematoda; Chromadorea; Rhabditida; Rhabditidae. The record is from RNAcentral.
UUAAAAUCUUCUCUCCCUCACUAUCUCCAAACCAAAAAAAAUCUGGAAUUAAAAGGGUUUUCUUAUGUCAAAAUCGGGUCAGCAACAGCAACCUCACCAACAAAUGCAACAGCAACAGCAGCAACAGGGAAAAAUGAUGGUUGUACAUCAUCAAAGAACAACAACACCUGAUGGAUCACAAGUAUAUCUACUACAACCGAGUCAAAGUCAUCCACAGCAGAGACAGG